This 695-nucleotide ribosomal RNA is filed under the name Arthrobacter sp. XYL_392. RNAcentral describes it as "bacterial SSU rRNA". It matches the Rfam family "Bacterial small subunit ribosomal RNA", at positions 576 to 1269 of the family's 1533-position model. Lineage: Bacteria; Bacillati; Actinomycetota; Actinomycetes; Micrococcales; Micrococcaceae. The record is from RNAcentral.
CGGUUUGUCGCGUCUGCCGUGAAAGUCCGAGGCUCAACCUCGGAUCUGCGGUGGGUACGGGCAGACUAGAGUGAUGUAGGGGAGACUGGAAUUCCUGGUGUAGCGGUGAAAUGCGCAGAUAUCAGGAGGAACACCGAUGGCGAAGGCAGGUCUCUGGGCAUUUACUGACGCUGAGGAGCGAAAGCAUGGGGAGCGAACAGGAUUAGAUACCCUGGUAGUCCAUGCCGUAAACGUUGGGCACUAGGUGUGGGGGACAUUCCACGUUUUCCGCGCCGUAGCUAACGCAUUAAGUGCCCCGCCUGGGGAGUACGGCCGCAAGGCUAAAACUCAAAGGAAUUGACGGGGGCCCGCACAAGCGGCGGAGCAUGCGGAUUAAUUCGAUGCAACGCGAAGAACCUUACCAAGGCUUGACAUGUGCCAGACCGCUCCAGAGAUGGGGUUUCCCUUCGGGGCUGGUUCACAGGUGGUGCAUGGUUGUCGUCAGCUCGUGUCGUGAGAUGUUGGGUUAAGUCCCGCAACGAGCGCAACCCUCGUUCCAUGUUGCCAGCACGUAGUGGUGGGGACUCAUGGGAGACUGCCGGGGUCAACUCGGAGGAAGGUGGGGAUGACGUCAAAUCAUCAUGCCCCUUAUGUCUUGGGCUUCACGCAUGCUACAAUGGCCGGUACAAUGGGUUGCGAUACUGUGAGGUGGAGCU